UUAAUUGCAGAUUUUAGUGAUAAUAAAAAAAGACAGAAAUUAAGUUGAUCGUGAUAAAUAAUACCAGGGAACUCAACCGACGUGGAUACUGGGGAUUUAACAGAUUGAUAGGUCUUUCUUGAUUUGGUGGAUGGCAGUGUCUGGCGAUUAUCAUAGUCUGGAGCGACUUGUCUUGUUAACUCCGCCACUAACAAAUGAAACUUAAGCUUAUUAAAUAGUAGAUAGGUCCUCUGUAUUCAUUUAGGGUACAGGUUCUAUUGCUUCUUUAUGCUAUUGUGUGUUGGUUAUCCAGUGGGUAAGGUGUGAGUUAUUACUUACUUCUUAUCAGGGCAGACGGUACACUUAAGUCGUACAAAAUUGAGCAGUGACAGUGCAGUGAUGCCUUCGGGAAUAUGUGCGCGAGUGUGGGAAAGUGAUCGGGAUUUGCUAUUCUUCCCUGUAAACGAGGAAUUCUUUGUAAGUGCGGGCCAUGGGCUGGUGUUGAUAACGUGCCUACCUUUCUAUACAUACUGCUUGUUGCUACUACAGACUGAGUGUUUUAGUGAAGCCAUCAAAUAGCGACAUUGGUCAGGUGAAGAAUCAUGAGCUGAUUGAACUAUAAUUC
This 604-nucleotide non-coding RNA is filed under the name Trichobilharzia regenti. Its description in RNAcentral is "Eukaryotic small subunit ribosomal RNA". It matches the Rfam family "Eukaryotic small subunit ribosomal RNA", at positions 1190 to 1772 of the family's 1831-position model. Lineage: Eukaryota; Metazoa; Platyhelminthes; Trematoda; Strigeidida; Schistosomatidae. The record is from Rfam by way of RNAcentral.